GCCCGGUUAGCUCAAUCGGUAGAGCGUGAGACUCUUAAUCUCAAGGUUGCGGGUGAGUAGCACACUAUUAAAAAAAAUGUCGUGUGAUAAAUUGACUAACCCUACCUAAUAGGUUCGACCCCCGCAUCGGGCU
Non-coding RNA from Xylaria digitata, 133 nucleotides. The record is from the annotation of a GenBank genome assembly. Lineage: Eukaryota; Fungi; Ascomycota; Sordariomycetes; Xylariales; Xylariaceae.